UACGUAGGGGGCGAGCGUUGUCCGGAGUUACUGGGCGUAAAGCGCACGCAGGCGGUCUGCUAAGUUGGAGUGACAGUUGGUGGCUUAACUGCCAAAGUGCUUCGAAAACUGACAGACUUGAGGGCUUCAGAGGGACACGGAAUUCCGGGUGGAGUGGUGGAAAUGCGUAGAGAUCCGGAGGAACACCAAAGGCGAAGGCAGUGUCCUGGGGAGUACCUGACGCUCAGGUGCGAAAGCCAGGGGAGCGAACGGG
RNAcentral lists this ribosomal RNA (253 nucleotides) under uncultured bacterium. RNAcentral describes it as "partial 16S ribosomal RNA". It matches the Rfam family "Bacterial small subunit ribosomal RNA", at positions 524 to 776 of the family's 1533-position model. The record is from RNAcentral.